GGGUGCCUUCCCUGGGGUCCAGUGGGAACCAGGCUGGCCAGGUACAGGUCAAGGGCAGGAGCUGCGAUAGCUGCUGCUGGCUGCUCUGCUCCAAUGCAGAUUCCUAAUCACAAGUCGUGGGAGGAACUGAUCUGAGAUCACUUUCUCUCUAAGUGCUGCAAUGUGUAAAUUGAGGAUUGUCCCUCACCAUCUGCAAUCACUGCUCAGGUUUGCACUAGUUGCC
Non-coding RNA from Pelobates cultripes (western spadefoot toad), 223 nucleotides. The record is from the annotation of a GenBank genome assembly. NCBI's taxonomy places the organism in Eukaryota, Metazoa, Chordata, Amphibia, Anura, Pelobatidae.